UACGUAGGUGGCAAGCGUUGUCCGGAUUUAUUGGGUUUAAAGGGUGCGUAGGCGGCUUUGUAAGUCAGUGGUGAAAUAUGGCAGCUCAACUGUCAAGGUGCCAUUGAUACUGCAGAGCUUGAGUACAGAUGAGGUAGGCGGAAUUGACGGUGUAGCGGUGAAAUGCUUAGAUAUGACGCAGAACACCAAUUGCGAAGGCAGCUUGCUACACUGUUAUUGACACUGAGGCACGAAAGCGUGGGGAUCAAACAGG
RNAcentral lists this ribosomal RNA (253 nucleotides) under uncultured bacterium. RNAcentral's name for it is "partial 16S ribosomal RNA". It matches the Rfam family "Bacterial small subunit ribosomal RNA", at positions 524 to 776 of the family's 1533-position model. The record is from RNAcentral.